This is a non-coding RNA of Pan troglodytes (chimpanzee), 148 nucleotides long. It matches the Rfam family "Metazoan signal recognition particle RNA". Rfam says of the family: The signal recognition particle (SRP) is a universally conserved ribonucleoprotein. It is involved in the co-translational targeting of proteins to membranes. The record is from Rfam. Lineage: Eukaryota; Metazoa; Chordata; Mammalia; Primates; Hominidae.
GCCGGGCGUGGUGGUGCUUGCCUGUAAUCCCAGCUACUCAGGAGGCUGAGGCAGGAGAAUCGCUUGAACCUGGGAGGUGGAGUUUGCAGUGAGCUGAGAUCACGCCACUGCACUCCAGCCUGGGCGACAGAGUGAGACUCUGUCUCUA